This 29-nucleotide non-coding RNA is filed under the name Mus musculus (house mouse). Lineage: Eukaryota; Metazoa; Chordata; Mammalia; Rodentia; Muridae. The record is from RNAcentral.
UCUGAAGUUGAUUUGGUGGCCUCACUUAC